AAUAAUAAAAAAAAAAAAUCUGUAGAGAUGGCGGGGUGGGGGGGGUCUCUCUGUGUUGCCCAGGUUAGUCUUGAACUCCUGGCCUCAAGCAAUUCUCCCACUUUGGCCUCCCAAAGUGCUGGGAUUGCGGGUAUGCACCACUGCUCCCAGCAAAAAGGGGUUUUAAAAGUAGCUUAGAGGCCAGGUGUGGUGGCUCAUGCCUGCAAUCCCAGCACUUUGAGAGGCCGAGGCGGGCAGAUCACGAGGUCAGGAGUUCGAGACCAGCCUGGCCAAUAUGGUGAAACCCCGUCUCUACUAAAAAUACAAAAUUAGCUGGGCAUGGUGGCACAUGCCUGUAGUCCCAGCUACUACGGAGGUUGAGGCAGGAGAAUCGCUUGAACCUGGGAGGUGGAGGAUGCGGUGAGCCGAGAUUGUGCCAUUGCACUCCAGCCUGGGCAACAACAGCGAAACUCUGUCUCAAAAAACUAAAUAAAUAAAUAAAAUAAAUAAAUAAAUAAAUUGCAUAUUUUAACAGUAUGUGAACAAACAGAGGCUAUUAUAGCAUAAAUUCAAUGCAAGUAAAUGGGUAUUUAAAAGGAAAUUUGCUGUUCUGGUUAUAAAGUUUUUGAGACAGGGCUAGUAUCUCACUUAAUUUUAAAGAUCAAGUGAAACCCCAAGAAAAGACAAUAUUUAAAACAUCAAGAGUAUUAAUCAUCCUUUUAAGUCAUCAACAGUCAAGUAAUCCACUUAAUGUGCUGCUUGAAGAAAAUAGAAUAAGCACUGUCCAUUCUGCCUUUAGGUUCAUCUCUGAUAUCAGGGGUAUUCUUUCCUCUGAAGUCAUCUUCUUAAAAACAAAUGCAAAAUCAACAUGUUGGUUUUCUUAGAAGCUUUGUAAAGUCCCAAUGCAGGAAAUUACACGUAAGAAUGUUACUUGACCUUCAGAAAUCCCUCACAGAAGAUCUGAGUGGAACAGCUCCACCACCACAUUCCCAUCCGUGGCUUCGGCUAGUGGCGAAAUCUGAAAAAUAAUUCUUCUUGUGAUAUGUCCUUGGAAUUUCUUCCUCACGUACAAAGCUUAAGAGUUAAUUAAGGUAAAAAAGCAACAAUAUAUAGUUAGAGAUCGGCCAUACAGUCAUUAUCAAUCUUUCGGCCUCGAAGAACUCAAAUAGGAGAUUAUUUCUUCCAACUAAGACCCUCAGACAGCAGAUUUUGAUAAAAGCUGUAACCCAGGCCAUUCUGCUGGUGGACAGAAUCUCUCCCUAAUUGCUGGGAGAGUAUACCAAGGAACUGUAUUUUCACUAAAGCCACAUUUUAAUUCAUGAUAAACACAACUUCUGGAAAUUUUUACAACUAAAUAUUCUUAAAUAGAAAGGCUUUUAAGAUAUGAAAAUGGUAUUAUGGUUAUGCUUUGAAAAAAGUUUUUUCCUUUUGAAUAUACUGAAAUAUUUAUAGUGAUUUAAUAUGUGGGAUUUACUUCAAAAUAACAUGGUGGUGGGGGGAGUGGGUAGAAGUUUUAACACGAUUGGCCACAAAUUUAUAAAGCUGGGUGGUGGGGACAUGAUUAAUUACACUAUUUUGUCUUCUUUAAGCUUAAAAAUUUCCAACAUAAAAAAUUGUGCAUAUCCUUGCAUGAGAUAUAAAAUAUACCCAUGCAGGCUGGGCGCUGUGGCUCACCCCUGUAAUCCCAGCAUUUUAGGAGGCCGAGUCGGGCAGAUCACAAGGUCAGGAGUUCGAGACCAGCCUUGCCAACAUGGUGAAACCCUGUCUCUACUAAAAACACAAAAAUGAGCCAGUUGUGGUGGCGAGCGCCUGUAAUCCCAGCUACUUGGGAGGCUGAGGCAGGAGAAUCGCUUGAACCCGGGAGGCAGAGGUUGCAGUGAGCCAAGACAGUGCCAUUGCACUCCAGCCUGAACGAGAGCAAAACCCCGUCUCAAAAAAAACAAAACAAUAACAAUAAUGUACACGUUUCACAUUUGGACACACUGAAAUCAAACUCACGUAUUCAAAUUUUUUUAGAUUAAGUUACAUAAAGCAUGCACACCAUUUGGCACAGGCCCGGCAAACAAUCAGUACUCAACAUCACCUGUUAUUUUCCUGAUUUUCCAACUUUAGAGUCAAACUAAAUGUUAUAGAAUUAUAUGUAUGAUUAUGUAUAUACAAUAUAUAUAAAUACAUAUAAAUACCGUAAAUUAAGCUAGUAUGUUAUUGCGUAAAGUAAUGGUCUUACCCUAGACGAAGGUGAGUUUAAUUGUAACAGAUGAAACAAAGAAUAGAAAACUUGUUAAGAAGUGUUCAAUGUAAGCUCUCAUCUCUGCAGGGUUUCAUGUGACUUAUAAUUACCAGUCAGCUGGUCCUAGAGAACUUAAUCAAAAUGUAUAGUAAAGACGAACUACGUGGACCAGUGGCCAUUUAUCUGCAAGGUGGCACCAGCCACUGACAUCUGAUCACUUCCAUACUGAUGCUGAAAUCCUAUGCAAAUUCAUUACUUAGGUCAAGCUGGGAAACACUUCUGUCAAGUCACUACACAAUUAAAUAAAAAUACCCAAAAGGGACUUAC
This 2536-nucleotide long non-coding RNA is filed under the name Homo sapiens (human). RNAcentral describes it as "HSALNT0346402". The record is from RNAcentral. Lineage: Eukaryota; Metazoa; Chordata; Mammalia; Primates; Hominidae.